This 467-nucleotide ribosomal RNA is filed under the name uncultured bacterium. RNAcentral describes it as "partial 16S ribosomal RNA". It matches the Rfam family "Bacterial small subunit ribosomal RNA", at positions 28 to 506 of the family's 1533-position model. The record is from RNAcentral.
GACGAACGCUGGCGGCGUGCUUAACACAUGCAAGUCGAACGGAAAGGCCCUGCUUUUGUGGGGUGCUCGAGUGGCGAACGGGUGAGUAACACGUGAGUAACCUGCCCUUGACUUUGGGAUAACUUCAGGAAACUGGGGCUAAUACCGGAUAGGAGCUCCUGCUGCAUGGUGGGGGUUGGAAAGUUUCGGCGGUUGGGGAUGGACUCGCGGCUUAUCAGCUUGUUGGUGGGGUAGUGGCUUACCAAGGCUUUGACGGGUAGCCGGCCUGAGAGGGUGACCGGCCACAUUGGGACUGAGAGACGGCCCAGACGCCUACGGGAGGCAGCAGUGGGGAAUAUGGCACAAUGGGCGGAAGCCUGAUGCAGCAACGCCGCGUGCGGGAUGACGGCCUUCGGGUGGUAAACCGCUUUCGCCUGUGACGAAGCGUGAGUGACGGGAAUGGGUAAAGAAGCACCGGCUAACUACGU